CCCAGACUCCUACGGGAGGCAGCAGUGGGGAAUAUUGCACAAUGGGGGAAACCCUGAUGCAGCGACGCCGCGUGAGCGAAGAAGUACCUCGGUAUGUAAAGCUCUAUCAGCAGGGAAGAAGAUGACAGUACCUGAGUAAGAAGCACCGGCUAAAUACGUGCCAGCAGCCGCGGUAAUACGUAUGGUGCAAGCGUUAUCCGGAUUUACUGGGUGUAAAGGGAGCGUAGGCGGCGCGUUAAGUCUGAUGUGAAAACCCGAGGCUCAACCACGGGAGUGCAUUGGAAACUGGCGGGCUGGAGUGCCGGAGAGGUAAGCGGAAUUCCUAGUGUAGCGGUGAAAUGCGUAGAUAUUAGGAGGAACACCAGUGGCGAAGGCGGCUUACUGGACGGCAACUGACGCUGAGGCUCGAAAGCGUGGGGAGCAAACAGGAUUAGAUACCCGGGUACCG
This 448-nucleotide ribosomal RNA is filed under the name uncultured bacterium. RNAcentral describes it as "partial 16S ribosomal RNA". It matches the Rfam family "Bacterial small subunit ribosomal RNA", at positions 330 to 793 of the family's 1533-position model. The record is from RNAcentral.